UACGGGAGCAGCAGUGGGGAAUAUUGCACAAUGGGCGCAAGCCUGAUGCAGCCAUGCCGCGUGUAUGAAGAAGGCCUUCGGGUUGUAAAGUACUUUCAGUCGUGAGGAAGGUGUUAAGGUUAAUAACCUUAGCAAUUGACGUUAGCGACAGAAGAAGCACCGGCUAACUUCGUGCCAGCAGCCGCGGUAAUACGGAGGGUGCGAGCGUUAAUCGGAAUUACUGGGCGUAAAGGGCACGCAGGCGGUUAAUUAAGUUGGAUGUGAAAUCCCCGGGCUUAACCUGGGAAUGGCAUUCAAGACUGGUUAGCUAGAGUCUUGUAGAGGGGGUAGAAUUCCAUGUGUAGCGGUGAAAUGCGUAGAGAUGUGGAGGAAUACCGGUGGCGAAGGCGGCCCCUGGACAAAGACUGACGCUCAUGUGCGAAAGCGUGGGGAGCAAACG
RNAcentral lists this ribosomal RNA (439 nucleotides) under uncultured bacterium. RNAcentral describes it as "bacterial SSU rRNA". It matches the Rfam family "Bacterial small subunit ribosomal RNA", at positions 340 to 774 of the family's 1533-position model. The record is from RNAcentral.